GGAUGAGGAUGAGACGGGGGCGACGCCGGAGAAUGCUGCGAAGUAUAAUGGGAAUUUGAUGAGGAUGGUGAUGGAGGGGAAGGGGACGCCGGCGAGGCCGAAGGUGGGGUUGAGGGUGUAUGUUUUUGCGCUGUUUAAUGAGAAUUUGAAGCCGGGUCCGGCGUCGGAGAGGAAUUAUGGGCUGUUUAAGCCGGAUGGGACUCCGGCCUAUCAUUUGGAUAUUGUUGUGCCG
This 232-nucleotide unclassified non-coding RNA is filed under the name Hevea brasiliensis (rubber tree). Lineage: Eukaryota; Viridiplantae; Streptophyta; Magnoliopsida; Malpighiales; Euphorbiaceae. The record is from RNAcentral.